RNAcentral lists this ribosomal RNA (449 nucleotides) under uncultured bacterium. RNAcentral's name for it is "partial 16S ribosomal RNA". It matches the Rfam family "Bacterial small subunit ribosomal RNA", at positions 29 to 523 of the family's 1533-position model. The record is from RNAcentral.
AACGAACGCUGGCGGCAGGCCUAACACAUGCAAGUCGAGCGAGACCUUCGGGUCUAGCGGCGGACGGGUGAGUAACGCGUGGGAAUAUGCCCUUUGGUACGGAAUAGCCUCGGGAAACUGAGAGUAAUACCGUAUUUGCCCUUCGGGGGAAAGAUUCAUCGCCAAAGGAUUAGCCCGCGUUGGAUUAGGUAGUUGGUGGGGUAAUGGCCUACCAAGCCUACGAUCCAUAGCUGGUUUGAGAGGAUGAUCAGCCACACUGGGACUGAGACACGGCCCAGACUCCUACGGGAGGCAGCAGUGGGGAAUCUUAGACAAUGGGGGCAACCCUGAUCUAGCCAUGCCGCGUGAGUGAUGAAGGCCUUAGGGUUGUAAAGCUCUUUCAGCUGGGAAGAUAAUGACGGUACCAGCAGAAGAAGCCCCGGCUAACUCCGUGCCAGCCGCCGCCGUAA